Eriocheir sinensis (Chinese mitten crab) is the source of this 2583-nucleotide long non-coding RNA. RefSeq lists it as uncharacterized. The transcript is spliced from 3 exons. The record is from RefSeq and is a predicted model, not a curated record. Lineage: Eukaryota; Metazoa; Arthropoda; Malacostraca; Decapoda; Varunidae.
UCUUCGCCUAUGUCGCCUGUACGCUUGUUUGGAGGGUCCUGAUGGUAUGGCCCAGCCCGUUGUGGCGCUGGCAAGUGUUUAUAGUGGCGCCAUCUUGCAUUGGCCCAUGCUGCCCCCCGGAGCUCAUCUUUAAUCCUAGAAUCCAGAGUCCGGGUUGAUGGGUGGUCUUCUGGACAGCAUGUGGGUAGUCUUAGGCCACUCGCCGGCGGCUGAAAAAUCCUUACUUCGUGUCACCGGGCGGGGAUCGAACUCGCGUCGUCCUGAAGGGGACGACGUGAGUAUUUGAGUGAUUCCUGCUGUCAUUUAUCUAGUUAGUUAUAUACUUUAGUUAUCAUUUGUUACAGGCAUAUAUUUGGCCUCUCUUUACUCUCCACCUCCAACUAAAACUGAAUCCUUUAUUGUGUUUUUUGAAGAGUUUGAAUCUAUAGUUAUAUACCGUAGUUAUGUUCUGUGAGAGUCAUAUAUUUGGGCUCCUUUUACUGUCCACUUCCCACUUCUAUCAUGUUUUUUGAAGAGUUUGAACCCCUAACGGCCUAACCCCUAAUACUGGCUCUAUAAUGGUUUCAGCUCAUGAUGUACGUCGUGAAUGAGGAGUUUGAACCCAUAUCUUUCGGCUCCGUGCUCAUCUGCCUCCAUCGCUACGACACGCUGGGCACUACUUACUUUUUCAAGCAGUUAGGAAUUGAUGUGCCAUCACAGCCACAGCGAACCUCCAUGCUAGUGGCCACCAUAAGCCUGACGGAGGACCUGUGGCUCCCCAUGAACUGCCAGUCAGUUCUCAACGAUCCUGAGGACGUGUUUCAUCACCGCCCAGAUCCUUGACCAAAAAACUUCUAUCUCCUCGGGAAGCCAGAGCAUGCGCUUAUAUCCCAGGCUUCUGUUGAGGUUGGGGACAUCAGCGGACCCACAUACACACAGUACAGUAACUGGACCUUCGAUGUGACGGUGAGGACGGAUGCUCCGGCGCUCUUCGUGUGGCUCCAGACAACCCACCCCGGAGUGUUCUCAGAUAACGGGUUCAUGAUGAGGGAAGAAGAGACGGAGGUUCAGUUUUACGCCGGCGAGGAGGUGACUGCGGCAGAGUUACAGGCGUCGGUGAACGUCAAGUCCCUCACCGACACCUACCAGCAGCGGUAGGGAGGUGAGGCGAGGCCCGAAGGUAUACUGCACCCCAGUGAUAUAUAUCCGGAACAGCUGGUGGGCAUGAUCCUUGAGGCUUUUUCCUAUCGGUCCUUCUGUCUAGCGUCAAGUCAUUAGCUCGAAACAGAACGGCAAUCAUCAUAAUAGCGUUGAAAGCCAGGGAGGAGCUCAAGACACUUUCAUCCAGUAUUUUAGAGCUAAAGCAUUCAUCAUGGAUCUCUUGAAGCUGUUGUAAUCAAUCUUUAUGUCCAGCGUCAAGUCAUUAACUAAAGACAGAAUGGCAUUGAAAAUCAAGGAAGAUCUCAAGACACUUUCAUCCAUUAUUUUAGAGCUAAAGUAUCCAAAUGCUGUGGAUUUCUCAAAGCUGUUCUUAUUGGUCCCUUUGUCUAGCGUCACGCCAUCAUCCCCUGACACCACAGUAGACAUAAGAGCAGUGUUGUUUGGGUCUUCGCAUGCUCUAUCGGGGAAGUGUUGAAUAAAGGGAAUAUUUGCUUUAGUGUAGUAUGUCUGUGUAUCCUCCAUUCUAUACUAAAGAGAUGUAAGGGAAGUGUAGAGUGUAGUGUUGUGUUUGUGAUCUCUAAAAGUUGAUGCCCUUGCUGUAAAACAAAUUAUAGCACCAAUAAAAAUGAUAAUCUCACACUCCUUUCCAUUCCCAAAGUAGGAAAAGGGAACACAUUCACCAUAGUAAAUGCAGAGCUUUGAAACGGGAAUGAAAGUGCAAGACCAUAUAUGGGAUGCACGGGCACCAUGUCAAUGGAAUGAGGAAGACUUGUUGGUGGUAGCGAGUGUUCUAAGUGCUAAUCGGUUCACGGAUAGAGAAACUCAUAUCCGUCAGGGUUACUUUAUUGGACAAAAAUACAUCAAGUCAUUGAGACAAACACAACACAAGGAAAAGGUGUUUGUGUGGGUAUGCGUUUGUGUGAAUGUUGUUUGUGUAGGUUAACAUUUAAGUGUUGGUGUAUGUGUAUAACAAUGUGUAACGGUAGACAACAAAAGGACAUAGACGGACAGUCAAAGGUAAACGAGUACAAGAAAGAUAAACAUUGAAGACACGACGCGGACAGAGACAAGUACUAACGAUGAACAUGAAAACACAAUUUUAAAGUCUUCUGUGCAGUGCACCAUUUUCUUAUGUGUCACUGAGGGGAAGGAACACGCGAUUCGAGCGGUGACUGCUACAGACUCUGGCAUAUUGGAGUCACUGUCAGCCAGAGGAUGAGGACAAGAUCUAACACUCCUAAAAAUAAAAUCCUGCCCGAACUGAAAUACUUAUUCUUUGUUAUUAUUAUUGUUAUUAUUGAGAUCCACGACAUAGCAUUAAGCGAAAAAAAAUACAACUGACCCAGACCCCAAAAAACAAGGGUGCAAAAAAUAAAGGCCAGCGACAACAACGUAAAGUUAAGAGAAUAGUAAAGAAAGAAGGGAGUAAAAAAAACUAUGGGA